GCCAGGCGUGGUGGCUCACGCCUGUAAUCCCAGCACUUUGGGAGGCCGAGGCAGGCGGAUCACCUGAGGUCAGGAGUUCGAGACCAGCCUGACCAACAUGGAGAAACCCUGUCUCUA
RNAcentral lists this small RNA (117 nucleotides) under Pongo abelii (Sumatran orangutan). RNAcentral's name for it is "Metazoan signal recognition particle RNA (ENSPPYG00000034011.1)". Lineage: Eukaryota; Metazoa; Chordata; Mammalia; Primates; Hominidae. The record is from Rfam by way of RNAcentral.